Molecule: non-coding RNA, 85 nt
Filed under: Desulforamulus ruminis
Lineage: Bacteria; Bacillati; Bacillota; Clostridia; Eubacteriales; Peptococcaceae
Also listed under: 1 other name
Description: Desulfotomaculum ruminis c-di-GMP sequence
Rfam family: c-di-GMP-I riboswitch aptamer
About the family: GEMM was predicted in a large-scale screen for bacterial structured RNA regulatory elements. Genes associated with GEMM are involved in a diverse array of functions, including chemotaxis regulation, signal transduction, secretion and chitin.
Source: RNAcentral
AGUAUGAAAAGGCAAAUCCAUUGAAAAAUGGGGGCGCAAAGCCAUGGGUCUAAGCCAAGUUCGGUAUGAUUGCCAGGCUGCCAAA